RNAcentral lists this small RNA (548 nucleotides) under Pan troglodytes (chimpanzee). Its description in RNAcentral is "retained intron". Lineage: Eukaryota; Metazoa; Chordata; Mammalia; Primates; Hominidae. The record is from RNAcentral.
UCUUGCGAGCACUUCGCAGACCGUCGCUAAUGAAUCUUGGGGCCGGUGUCGGGCCGGGGCGGCUUGAUCGGCAACUAGGAAACCCCAGGCGCAGAGGCCAGGAGCGAGGGCAGCGAGGAUCAGAGGCCAGGCCUUCCCGGCUGCCGGCGCUCCUCGGAGGUCAGGGCAGAUGAGGAACAUGACUCUCCCCCUUCUGAGGAGGAAGGAAGUCCCGCUGCCACCUUAUCUCUGCUCCUCUGCCUCCUCCCUGUUCCCAGAGCUUUUUCUCUAGAGAAGAUUUUGAAGGCGGCUUUUGUGCUGACGGCCACCCACCAUCAUCUAAAGAAGAUAAACUUGGCAAAUGACAUGCAGGUUCUUCAAGGCAGAAUAAUUGCAGAAAAUCUUCAAAGGACCCUAUCUGCAGAUGUUCUGAAUACCUCUGAGAAUAGAGAUUGAUUAUUCAACCAGGAUACCUAAUUCAAGGUAUUAGCUCUCGUCAGAAAGCUUUUACAUUUGAGCUCUGUGUUGGAAAUUCUAUUUUGGCAAUGAAUUGAAAUAGGAAAAGUUGG